UAUAAGCCCUUACAUGUACUUAUGUGUUUUGUUUCUGUUUUUCCAGCCUGUAUUUGAACCAGUUUCUUAGUUUGUUUGAUUACUCAUCCCGUCCACCUUUGUUCUCAUCUAUACAACCGACAGUGUUGGUAUCUAUGUGCUUUCACAAAUCAGCCUUGAGUGACCAUGUCAGCCGUCCUCUCACAUGAACACGUGGAGUUACUGCAAUAUUUAAGGCGACUACAGAUGAAAUGCUUCAUUAUUAGAGUUGUGUCGGAGCGGGCAGGAAAUCUCUGCAGAUGGAAACAGAAACAAAGAGCCUUCGGAGAGAGAGAACCGUGGGAAAUGCAUUACCGAGUGCAGUUUAAAUCUCUGAAACCCGCUGGGCGUGAAACGUCUCGUAAAACUGAUGAAUCUGCUAUUCAUGACGGGACUGGUGAAGCCUUAUCGGAGCAGCUGGGACGUGCACGAGUCUCCCGUCAGGCCUGGAUGUGUUGGGUUUUUACUUCUCAAGGGGACUGAUUUGAGAUUGUCAUCGCGUCUGAAGAGAAACGGCCUCCAUCAGAUCUCCAUGCUGUUUGGAUUCCCCCUCACGUCAGCGAGACACGCGGCUCUGAGUCAUGCAGGCUGGGACGGAUCCACGGUUCUGCAGCAUCACUGCAGUCUCUCUCACGCACUGAUGCUUUGCGUCUCAACUGUCG
Non-coding RNA from Pimephales promelas (fathead minnow), 680 nucleotides. Lineage: Eukaryota; Metazoa; Chordata; Actinopteri; Cypriniformes; Leuciscidae. The record is from RefSeq and is a predicted model, not a curated record.